GCUUGUCUCAAAGAUUAAGCCAUGCAUGUCUAAGUGUAAAUAAGUCUAUACUGUGAAACUGCGAACGGCUCAUUAUAUCAGUUAUAGUUUAUUUGAUACUUUUCGACUAUUGGAUAACCGUAGUAAUUCUAGAGCUAAUACAUGCGCCAAGUCCCGUCUUACGUCGGGAUGUAUUUAUUAGAUUUCAAUCAACACUUUUUGCUGACUCAUGAUAACUUAGCGGAUCGCAGAGGCCUCGCGCCGGCGACAAAUCAUUCAAGUUUCUGCCCUAUCAGCUUUCGAUGGUAGUGUAUUGGACUACCAUGGCUUUAACGGGUAACGGAGAAUUAGGGUUCGAUUCCGGAGAGGGAGCCUGAGAAACGGCUACCACAUCCAAGGAAGGCAGCAGG
This 389-nucleotide ribosomal RNA is filed under the name uncultured marine stramenopile. Its description in RNAcentral is "partial small subunit ribosomal RNA". It matches the Rfam family "Eukaryotic small subunit ribosomal RNA", at positions 30 to 432 of the family's 1831-position model. The record is from RNAcentral.